This 530-nucleotide ribosomal RNA is filed under the name uncultured bacterium. RNAcentral describes it as "bacterial SSU rRNA". It matches the Rfam family "Bacterial small subunit ribosomal RNA", at positions 777 to 1304 of the family's 1533-position model. The record is from RNAcentral.
AAUAGAUACCCCGGUAGUCCACGCCGUAAACGAUGAGUGCUAAGUGUUAGAGGGUUUCCGCCCUUUAGUGCUGCAGCAAACGCAUUAAGCACUCCGCCUGGGGAGUACGGUCGCAAGACUGAAACUCAAAGGAAUUGACGGGGGGCCCGCACAAGCGGUGGAGCAUGUGGUUUAAUUCGAAGCAACGCGAAGAACCUUACCAGGUCUUGACAUCCUUAUGCCAUCCCUAGAGAUAGGGCUUUCCCUUCGGGGACAUAAGUGACAGGUGGUGCAUGGUUGUCGUCAGCUCGUGUCGUGAGAUGUUGGGUUAAGUCCCGCAACGAGCGCAACCCUUGAUCUUAGUUGCCAGCAUUAAGUUGGGCACUCUAAGGUGACUGCCGGUGACAAACCGGAGGAAGGUGGGGAUGACGUCAAAUCAUCAUGCCCCUUAUGACCUGGGCUACACACGUGCUACAAUGGAUGGUACAAAGGGCAGCGAAACCGCGAGGUUAAGCCAAUCCCAUAAAACCAUUCUCAGUUCGGAUUGCAGG